Molecule: ribosomal RNA, 482 nt
Filed under: uncultured bacterium
Lineage: Bacteria
Description: partial 16S ribosomal RNA
Rfam family: Bacterial small subunit ribosomal RNA
Source: RNAcentral
AUUGAACGCUGGCGGCAUGCCUUACACAUGCAAGUCGAACGGUAACGGGCCUUCGGGUGCCGACGAGUGGCGAACGGGUGAGUAAUACAUCGGAACGUGCCCGAUCGUGGGGGAUAACGAGGCGAAAGCUUUGCUAAUACCGCAUACGAUCUACGGAUGAAAGCAGGGGACCGCAAGGCCUUGCGCGGACGGAGCGGCCGAUGGCAGAUUAGGUAGUUGGUGGGAUAAAAGCUUACCAAGCCGACGAUCUGUAGCUGGUCUGAGAGGAUGAUCAGCCACACUGGGACUGAGACACGGCCCAGACUCCUACGGGAGGCAGCAGUGGGGAAUUUUGGACAAUGGGCGCAAGCCUGAUCCAGCCAUGCCGCGUUCAGGAUGAAGGCCUUCGGGUUGUAAACUGCUUUUGUACGGAACGAAAAGCCUUCUUUUAAUACAGGAGGGUCAUGACGGUACCGUAAGAAUAAGCACCGGCUAACUACGUG